This 557-nucleotide ribosomal RNA is filed under the name Sphingomonas sp. SDB-067. Its description in RNAcentral is "bacterial SSU rRNA". It matches the Rfam family "Bacterial small subunit ribosomal RNA", at positions 102 to 694 of the family's 1533-position model. The record is from RNAcentral. Lineage: Bacteria; Pseudomonadati; Pseudomonadota; Alphaproteobacteria; Sphingomonadales; Sphingomonadaceae. RNAcentral also lists the same sequence under 8 other names.
ACGGGUGCGUAACGCGUGGGAAUCUGCCCCUUGGUUCGGAAUAACAGUUGGAAACGACUGCUAAUACCGGAUGAUGACGUAAGUCCAAAGAUUUAUCGCCGAGGGAUGAGCCCGCGUAGGAUUAGGUAGUUGGUGUGGUAAAGGCGCACCAAGCCGACGAUCCUUAGCUGGUCUGAGAGGAUGAUCAGCCACACUGGGACUGAGACACGGCCCAGACUCCUACGGGAGGCAGCAGUGGGGAAUAUUGGACAAUGGGCGAAAGCCUGAUCCAGCAAUGCCGCGUGAGUGAUGAAGGCCUUAGGGUUGUAAAGCUCUUUUACCCGGGAUGAUAAUGACAGUACCGGGAGAAUAAGCUCCGGCUAACUCCGUGCCAGCAGCCGCGGUAAUACGGAGGGAGCUAGCGUUAUUCGGAAUUACUGGGCGUAAAGCGCACGUAGGCGGCUUUGUAAGUUAGAGGUGAAAGCCCAGAGCUCAACUCUGGAAUUGCCUUUGAUACUGCAUCGCUUGAAUCCAGGAGAGGUGAGUGGAAUUCCGAGUGUAGAGGUGAAAUUCGUAGA